AAAAAACGUUUCCUUUUCUUUUCUUCUUGUUUUUGGUAACGUGGGUGAUGAAAUGUUGAUGAUGAUAAGCAGGCUCAGUCUGUUACAAAAGGAGAGAGGAGGAGGAGGAAGGGGGAGGAGGAGUAGGGCCAGGUGAGAAAACUCCACAACAACUCCAUGUCUCAUUUAUUAUAAAAUAAUUUCAUUCAAUUUAUUGCAACUGGUUUCUGCAAAAGCUGCAAAUUUAUUAAACCAAUCCGAGAGUUGCAUGCAUGUGAAAUAUUCGCAGUGAAUUGAAAAUAGCAAUCAUAAGGAUGCAUAUGUAUAUCUGCAUCCGCCUACUUUGCUAUAUAGUAGAUUAUAGAUAUACUUGUUCUCCAAUGUUAUUCUUCUUCAAGGUGCUAAAUUAAAUAAUUAAAUAGUGUAAUGUAACAUGUACGUAUUAAUUAGUUAUGGUCAACUAAUAUAUAUAUAAUAUAUAUAAUUUUUGUGUUUUUCUUUGAAGUCAUGGAGGGUUGCCAUGCACGAUCUCCCAGAACAUGAUUCAUUUGGUGUGGUAA
RNAcentral lists this long non-coding RNA (539 nucleotides) under Prunus dulcis (almond). RNAcentral describes it as "sRNA ncRNA". The record is from RNAcentral. Lineage: Eukaryota; Viridiplantae; Streptophyta; Magnoliopsida; Rosales; Rosaceae.